RNAcentral lists this ribosomal RNA (479 nucleotides) under Nocardia sp. 7BR31. RNAcentral's name for it is "bacterial SSU rRNA". It matches the Rfam family "Bacterial small subunit ribosomal RNA", at positions 10 to 522 of the family's 1533-position model. Lineage: Bacteria; Bacillati; Actinomycetota; Actinomycetes; Mycobacteriales; Nocardiaceae. The record is from RNAcentral.
GAUUUGAUCCUGGCUCAAGGACGAUCGCUAGCGCGUGCUUAACACAUGCAAGUCGAGCGGUAAGGCCCUUCGGGGUACACGAGCGGCGAACGGGUGAGUAACACGUGGGUGAUCUGCCUUGCACUCUGGGAUAAGCCUGGGAAACUGGGUCUAAUACCGGAUAUGAGCCUGGACUGCAUGGUCUGGGUUGGAAAGGUUUACUGGUGCGAGAUGGGCCCGCGGCCUAUCAGCUUGUUGGUGGGGUAACGGCCUACCAAGGCGACGACGGGUAGCCGACCUGAGAGGGUGACCGGCCACACUGGGACUGAGACACGGCCCAGACUCCUACGGGAGGCAGCAGUGGGGAAUAUUGCACAAUGGGCGAAAGCCUGAUGCAGCGACGCCGCGUGAGGGAUGACGGCCUUCGGGUUGUAAACCUCUUUUACAGGGACGAAGCGCAAGUGACGGUACCUGUAGANGAAGUGCCAGCAGCCGCGGGA